This 340-nucleotide ribosomal RNA is filed under the name uncultured bacterium. RNAcentral's name for it is "bacterial SSU rRNA". It matches the Rfam family "Bacterial small subunit ribosomal RNA", at positions 28 to 362 of the family's 1533-position model. The record is from RNAcentral.
GACGAACGCUGGCGGCGUGCUUAACACAUGCAAGUGGAGCGACGAACCAGGCUUCGGCCUGGGGCAGAGCCGCGAACGGGUGAGUAACACGUGGGUAACCUGCCCCGAUGACUGGGACAACCCGAGGAAACUCGGGCUAAUACCGGAUGUGCUGCUCUCGCUCAAGUGAGAGUAGGAAAGGAAGCUUCGGCCUCCGCAUCGGGAUGGGCCCGCGGCCCAUUAGCUUGNGGUGAGGUAACGGCUCACCAAGGCUUCGAUGGGUAGCUGGUCUGAGAGGACGAUCAGCCACACUGGGACUGAGACACGGCCCAGACUCCUACGGGAGGCAGCAGUGGGGAAU